Ribosomal RNA from Plasmodium cynomolgi strain B, 162 nucleotides. It matches the Rfam family "5.8S ribosomal RNA". From Rfam's summary of the family: 5.8S ribosomal RNA (5.8S rRNA) is a component of the large subunit of the eukaryotic ribosome. It is transcribed by RNA polymerase I as part of the 45S precursor that also contains 18S and 28S rRNA. Lineage: Eukaryota; Apicomplexa; Aconoidasida; Haemosporida; Plasmodiidae. The record is from Rfam.
UAACCUUAACGAUGGAUGUGUCUCUUGGUUUUUAGAGCGAUGAAGGGCGUAACGAAGUGCGAUGCGCAAUGAAAAUUGCGGUGACUGUGAAUCAUAUGAACGGUGAAUGUAAAUUGCACCAAUUCUUCUUUGAAGAAUAAUAGUAUUCCUUCAUAAAAAAUU